Molecule: transfer RNA, 76 nt
Filed under: Escherichia coli
Lineage: Bacteria; Pseudomonadati; Pseudomonadota; Gammaproteobacteria; Enterobacterales; Enterobacteriaceae
Also listed under: 2 other names
Description: tRNA-Lys
Rfam family: tRNA
About the family: Transfer RNA (tRNA) molecules are approximately 80 nucleotides in length. Their secondary structure includes four short double-helical elements and three loops (D, anti-codon, and T loops).
Source: RNAcentral
GGGUCGUUAGCUCAGAUGGUAGAGCAGUUGACUUUUAAUCAAUUGGUCGCAGGUUCGAAUCCUGCACGACCCACCA